CAAUAGCGUAUAUUAAAGUUGUUGCAGUUAAAAAGCUCGUAGUUGGAUUUCGGGGUGGCCUGGCUGGUCCGCCGCAAGGUGAGUACUGGUCAGCCGCCCUUCCUCUCGAAAGCCCCGACUGCUCUUUACUGCAGUGGUCGGGUAGUUCGGGACGUUUACUUUGAAAAAAUUAGAGUGUUCAAGGCAGGCUAUCGCCUGAAUACAUUAGCAUGGAAUAAUGGAAGAGGACCUCGGUCCUAUUUUGUUGGUUUCUAGGGCCGAAGUAAUGAUUAAGAGGGACAGUUGGGGGCAUUCGUAUUUAAUUGUCAGAGGCGAAAUUCUUGGAUUUAUGAAAGACGAACUAGUGCGAAAGCAUUUGCCAAGGAUGUUUUCAUUAA
This 377-nucleotide ribosomal RNA is filed under the name uncultured eukaryote. RNAcentral's name for it is "partial 18S ribosomal RNA". It matches the Rfam family "Eukaryotic small subunit ribosomal RNA", at positions 592 to 976 of the family's 1831-position model. The record is from RNAcentral.